GCAUGCUUAACACAUGCAAGUCGAACGAGAAAGUCACUUCGGUGGCGAGUAGAGUGGCGCACGGGUGAGUAACGCGUAGUUAACCUACCUCUUAGCGGGGGAUAACCAGGAGAAAUUCUGGCUAAUACCGCAUACGUAGUACGACAUGGGAAAAGUACUAGAAAGGAUGCCUCUCCUUGGAAGCAUUUACUAAGAGAUGGGACUGCGUUGCAUUAGCUUGUUGGUGGGGUAAUGGCCUACCAAGGCAACGAUGCAUAGCUGGUCUGAGAGGAUGAUCAGCCACACUGGAACUGAGACACGGUCCAGACUCCUACGGGAGGCAGCAGUGGGGAAUAUUGCGCAAUGGGGGAAACCCUGACGCAGCAAUGCCGCGUGAGUGAGGAAGGCCUUCGGGUUGUAAAGCUCUGUCAGAAGGGAAGAACGGCACAUUAUCUAAUAGGUAGUGUGUGUGACGGUACCUUCAAAGGAAGCACCGGCUAACUUCGUGCCAGCAGCCGCGGUAAUACGAAGGGUGCAAGCGUUGUUCGGAUUUACUGGGCGUAAAGCGCGCGCAGGCGGAUUGAUAAGUCAGAUGUGAAAUCUCGGGGCUCAACCCCGAAACUGCGUCUGAAACU
RNAcentral lists this ribosomal RNA (614 nucleotides) under uncultured bacterium. Its description in RNAcentral is "bacterial SSU rRNA". It matches the Rfam family "Bacterial small subunit ribosomal RNA", at positions 42 to 634 of the family's 1533-position model. The record is from RNAcentral.